CUUUACUGUAGCCUGGAAUUGGGUUCGGGCUUUAACUGCGCAGGAUAGGUGGGAGACUAUGAAACAUUCCUUGUGGGGAGUGUAGAGUCAACGGUGAGAUACCACUCUGUUAAAGCUAGAAUUCUAACCGAUAGCCGUUAUCCGGCAUCGGAACAGUUUCAGGUGGGCAGUUUGACUGGGGCGGUCGCCUCCUAAACGAUAACGGAGGCGCGCAAAGGUUCUCUCAGGCUGGUUGGAAAUCAGCCGUAGAGUGUAAAAGCAUAAGAGAGCUUGACUGUGAGACUGACAAGUCGAGCAGGGACGAAAGUCGGCUUUAGUGAUCCGACGGCACUGAGUGGAAGGGCCGUCGCUCAACGGAUAAAAGUUA
This 367-nucleotide ribosomal RNA is filed under the name uncultured organism. RNAcentral describes it as "bacterial LSU rRNA". It matches the Rfam family "Bacterial large subunit ribosomal RNA", at positions 2099 to 2465 of the family's 2925-position model. The record is from RNAcentral.